RNAcentral lists this ribosomal RNA (408 nucleotides) under uncultured bacterium. RNAcentral's name for it is "partial 16S ribosomal RNA". It matches the Rfam family "Bacterial small subunit ribosomal RNA", at positions 338 to 763 of the family's 1533-position model. The record is from RNAcentral.
CCUACGGGCGGCAGCAGUGGGGAAUAUUGCACAAUGGGGGAAACCCUGAUGCAGCGACGCCGCGUGAGUGAAGAAGUAUUUCGGUAUGUAAAGCUCUAGCAGCAGGGAAGAAAAUGACGGUACCUGAUGAAGAAGCCCCGGCUAACUACGUGCCAGCAGCCGCGGUAAUACGUAGGGGGCAAGCGUUCUCCGGAUUUACUGGGUGUAAAGGGAGCGUAGACGGCAGCACAAGUCGGGCGUGAAAUGCCGGGGCUUAACCCCGGAACUGCUUUGGAAACUGUGCAGCGAGAGUGCAGGAGAGGUCAGUGGACUUCCUAGUGUAGCGGUGCAAUUCGUAGCUCUUAGGCGGAACCCCAGUGGCGAAGGCGGCUUACUGGACUGUAACUGACGUUGAGGCUCGAAAGCGUG